Molecule: ribosomal RNA, 468 nt
Filed under: uncultured bacterium
Lineage: Bacteria
Description: partial 16S ribosomal RNA
Rfam family: Bacterial small subunit ribosomal RNA
Source: RNAcentral
GACGAACGCUGGCGGCGUGCUUAACACAUGCAAGUCGAACGGAAAGGCCCUGCUUUUGUGGGGUGCUCUAGUUGCGAACGGGUGAGUAACACGUGAGUAACCUGCCCUUGACUUUGGGAUAACUUCAGGAAACUUGGGCUAAUACCGGAUAGGAGCUCCUGCUGCAUGGUGGGGGUUGGAAAGUUUCGGCGGUUGGGGAUGGACUCGCGGCUUAUCAGCUUGUUGGUGGGGUAGUGGCUUACCAAGGCUUUGACGGGUAGCCGGCCUGAGAGGGUGACCGGACACAUUGGGACUGAGAUACGGCCCAGACUCCUACGGGAGGCAGCAGUGGGGAAUAUUGCACAAUGGGCGGAGGCAUGAUGCAGCAAAGCAGCGUGCGGGAUGACGGCCAUCGGGUUGUAAACCGAUUUCGCCUGUGACGAAGCGUGAGUGACGGUAAUGGGUAAAGAAGCACCGGCUAACUACGUG